ACGGGAGGCAGCAGUGAGGAAUCUUGCGCAAUGGGCGAAAGCCUGACGCAGCCACGCCGCGUGCCGGAUGACGGCCCUAUGGGUCGUAAACGGCUUUUACUAGGGAAGAACGAGAGGGUUUUGAUCUUCUGUGACGGUACCUAGCGAAUAAGCACCGGCUAACUCCGUGCCAGCAGCCGCGGUAAUACGGAGGGUGCAAGCGUUGUCCGGAAUCAUUGGGUGUAAAGGGUGCGUAGGCGGGAGCCUAAGUCUGGGGUGAAAUCUUGCCGCUUAACGGUAAAAUGGCCUUGGAUACUGGGUUUCUUGAGUGCAGAAGAAGCAGGUGGAAUUCGUGGUGUAGCGGUGAAAUGCUUAGAUAUCACGAAGAACAUCAGUGGCGAAGGCGGCCUGCUGGUCUGCAACUGACGCUGAGGCACGAAAGCGUGGGGAGCGAACAGGAUUAGAUACCCUGGUAGUCCACGCCGUAAACGAUGCAUACUAGGUGUUGGCCUUAGGGCCAGUGCUGCAGUUAACGCAUUAAGUAUGCCACCUGGGGAGUACGUCGGCAACGAUGAAACUCAAAGGAAUUGACGG
This 573-nucleotide ribosomal RNA is filed under the name uncultured bacterium. Its description in RNAcentral is "bacterial SSU rRNA". It matches the Rfam family "Bacterial small subunit ribosomal RNA", at positions 341 to 916 of the family's 1533-position model. The record is from RNAcentral.